UACGUAGGGUGCAAGCGUUAAUCGGAAUUACUAGGCGUAAAGCGUGCGCAGGCGGUUUUGUAAGUCUGUCGUGAAAGCCCCGGGCUUAACCUGGGAAUUGCGAUGGAGACUGCAAGGCUAGAAUCUGGCAGAGGGGGGUAGAAUUCCACGUGUAGCAGUGAAAUGCGUAGAUAUGUGGAGGAACACCGAUGGCGAAGGCAGCCCCCUGGGUCAAGAUUGACGCUCAUGCACGAAAGCGUGGGGAGCAAACAGG
Molecule: ribosomal RNA, 253 nt
Filed under: uncultured bacterium
Lineage: Bacteria
Description: partial 16S ribosomal RNA
Rfam family: Bacterial small subunit ribosomal RNA
Source: RNAcentral